UGGCUCAGUUGGUAGAGCAUGGUGUUUGCAACGCCAGGGUUGUGGGUUCACUUCCCAC
This is a non-coding RNA of Salmo salar (Atlantic salmon), 58 nucleotides long. The record is from Rfam. NCBI's taxonomy places the organism in Eukaryota, Metazoa, Chordata, Actinopteri, Salmoniformes, Salmonidae.